GAUGAACGCUGGCGGCGUGCCUAAUACAUGCAAGUCGAGCGAAAAGACGAGGAGCUUGCUCCUCUGACGUUAGCGGCGGACGGGUGAGUAACACGUGGAUAAACUACCUAUAAGACUGGGAUAAAUUCGGGAAACCGGAGCUAAUACCGGAUAAUAUAUUGAACCGCAUGGUUCAAUAGUGAAAGACGGUUUUGCUGUCACUUAUAGAUGGAUUCGCGCCGCAUUAGCUAGUUGGUAAGGUAACGGCUUACCAAGGCAACGAUGCGUAGCCGACCUGAGAGGAUGAUCGGCCACACUGGGACUGAGACACGGUCCAGACUCCUACGGGAGGCAGCAGUAGGGAAUCUUCCGCAAUGGGCGAAAGCCUGACGGAGCAACGCCGCGUGAGGGAUGAAGGUCUUCGGAUCGUAAAACGCUGUUGUUAGGGAAGAACAAGUUUUUAAGUAACUAUGCACGUCUUGACGGUACCGUAUCAGAAAGCCACGGCUAACUACGUG
This 497-nucleotide ribosomal RNA is filed under the name uncultured bacterium. RNAcentral's name for it is "partial 16S ribosomal RNA". It matches the Rfam family "Bacterial small subunit ribosomal RNA", at positions 28 to 507 of the family's 1533-position model. The record is from RNAcentral.